RNAcentral lists this ribosomal RNA (855 nucleotides) under Gordonia alkanivorans. RNAcentral's name for it is "bacterial SSU rRNA". It matches the Rfam family "Bacterial small subunit ribosomal RNA", at positions 28 to 895 of the family's 1533-position model. Lineage: Bacteria; Bacillati; Actinomycetota; Actinomycetes; Mycobacteriales; Gordoniaceae. The record is from RNAcentral.
GACGAACGCGGGCGGCGUGCUUAACACAUGCAAGUCGAACGGAAAGGCCCAGCUUGCUGGGUACUCGAGUGGCGAACGGGUGAGUAACACGUGGGUGAUCUGCCCUGAACUUUGGGAUAAGCCUGGGAAACUGGGUCUAAUACCGGAUAUGACCUUGGAGUGCAUGCUCUGGGGUGGAAAGCUUUUGCGGUUCAGGAUGGGCCCGCGGCCUAUCAGCUUGUUGGUGGGGUAAUGGCCUACCAAGGCGACGACGGGUAGCCGACCUGAGAGGGUGAUCGGCCACACUGGGACUGAGACACGGCCCAGACUCCUACGGGAGGCAGCAGUGGGGAAUAUUGCACAAUGGGCGCAAGCCUGAUGCAGCGACGCCGCGUGAGGGAUGACGGCCUUCGGGUUGUAAACCUCUUUCACCAGGGACGAAGCGCAAGUGACGGUACCUGGAGAAGAAGCACCGGCCAACUACGUGCCAGCAGCCGCGGUAAUACGUAGGGUGCGAGCGUUGUCCGGAAUUACUGGGCGUAAAGAGCUCGUAGGCGGUUUGUCGCGUCGUCUGUGAAAUUCUGCAACUCAAUUGUAGGCGUGCAGGCGAUACGGGCAGACUUGAGUACUACAGGGGAGACUGGAAUUCCUGGUGUAGCGGUGAAAUGCGCAGAUAUCAGGAGGAACACCGGUGGCGAAGGCGGGUCUCUGGGUAGUAACUGACGCUGAGGAGCGAAAGCGUGGGUAGCGAACAGGAUUAGAUACCCUGGUAGUCCRCGCCGUAACGGUGGGUACUAGGUGUGGGGCUCAUUUCACGAGUUCCGUGCCGUAGCUAACGCAUUAAGUACCCCGCCUGGGGAGUACGGCCGCAAGGCU